RNAcentral lists this ribosomal RNA (256 nucleotides) under uncultured bacterium. RNAcentral's name for it is "partial 16S ribosomal RNA". It matches the Rfam family "Bacterial small subunit ribosomal RNA", at positions 521 to 776 of the family's 1533-position model. The record is from RNAcentral.
UAAUACGUAUGCCUCAAGCGUUAUCCGGAAUUACUGGGUGUAAAGGGUCUGUAGGUGGUUAAUUAAGUCAGGUAUGAAAGACCGGGGCUCAACUCCGUGUUUGUGCUUGAAACUGGUUGACUAGAAUUAGGGAGAGGUUAGCAGAAUUCUAAGUGUAGGGGUGCAAUCCGUAGAUACUUAGAGGAAUACCAAAAGCGAAGGCAGCUAACUGGAACUAUAUUGACGCUGAAAGACGAAAGCGUGGGGAGCAAAAAGG